RNAcentral lists this long non-coding RNA (1343 nucleotides) under Homo sapiens (human). RNAcentral describes it as "HSALNT0301606". The record is from RNAcentral. Lineage: Eukaryota; Metazoa; Chordata; Mammalia; Primates; Hominidae.
GAAUUUAUUAUCAGUUCUAAGUUUUUUUGUGGAGUCCUUAGGUUUUUCCAAAUAUAAGAUUAUGUUCUUUGUAAACAAGGAUCAUUAGACUUCUUCCUUUCCAGUUUGGAUGCCCUUUCUUUCUUUCUCUUGUCUGAUUGCUCUAGCUAGGACUUCCAGUACUUUGUUGAAUAACGGUGGUGAAAGUGGGCAUUCUCAGCCUGUUGUAGAGCCAUCCUCUGGGAAUAUUUUUUGUCACACCUUUGGAUCCAUGUUGUUUCAUGGAUACUAAGUCUCUCUGUUUCUGUUUUUUUUCUGUGUUUUUUUCAAACCUUUAUAAAUGACGUUUUACAUGUUUACAUUUUUUUCUUUCUGAAAGCUUUCAUACCCUUCUCUGUAACCUUGGUGUUCUGGAAUUUCAUAAUUAUAUGACUGGGUUGUGGGUCUUUUCUCAUUCCCUGUUCUGCUUUUUGUAGUCUUUUCCAGUCUCUGGCUUCAUGUACUUAAGUAUAACAAUGUCCUCUCAUCUGUUUUUUUUGUGUGUGUGUGUAUGUGUGUCUUUUGUUUGUUUGUUUUUUACAUUGUGGUAAAAUGCAUGUAAUAUAAAAUUUACUGCCUUAACCAUUUUUAAGUGUACAGUUCAGUGGCAUUAAGUACAUUAAUAUUGUUGUGCUGCCAUCGCUACUAUGCAUCCCCAUAACUCUUUUCAUUUUGCAAAACUGAAACUCUGACCAUUAAACAAUAACUCUGUAUUCCCCCUUCCCCUAGCCAUUGGCAAUCACUAUUUAACAUUCUGUCUCCUUGAUUUUGACCACUCUAGGUACCUCAUUAUAGUAGUUACGGUUUUCUAGAGAAACAGAACCAAUAGGAUGUGUGUGUGUCUGUGCGUGUGUGUGUGCAUGUGUGUGUACACAUACAUUAUACGCACACACAUACACAUAUAGAGACAGAGAUUGAUUGAGAGAGAGAGAGAGAUUGAUUUAUUUUCAGGAAUGGCAAGGCCAGCAGGCUGGAGACCCAGGGAAGAACUGAUGUCAACAUAUACAAUUAAUCAUCCUCAUCCUGUAAUCCCUGUGACUCAGGAGGCUGAGGCAGAAGGAUUACUUGAGGCCAGGAGUUUGAGACCAGCCUGGGCAAUAAUAGUGAGACUCGUCUCUACAAAAACAAAAGGUAAACAAAAUAUUUAACCAUCAUACUCACAUAAGUGGAAUUAUACACUAUUUCUCCUUUUGCGUCUGGCUUAUUUCACUUAGCAUAGUGUCAUUAUGUUAUGUCUUCUCCUUCUCCUCCUCCUCCUCCUCCACCACCUCCUCCUCCUCCUCCUUUUUCUUCCCUCUUCCCCUCCUCCCGCCCACGCCCCGCUC